RNAcentral lists this ribosomal RNA (347 nucleotides) under uncultured bacterium. RNAcentral describes it as "bacterial SSU rRNA". It matches the Rfam family "Bacterial small subunit ribosomal RNA", at positions 917 to 1267 of the family's 1533-position model. The record is from RNAcentral.
GGGCCCGCACAAGCGGUGGAGCAUGUGGUUUAAUUCGAUGCAACGCGAAGAACCUUACCAGGGCUUGACAUACUACAAAUUCUUUUGAGAAAGAGAAGUGCCUUCGGGAAUGUAGAUACAGGUGGUGCAUGGCUGUCGUCAGCUCGUGUCGUGAGAUGUUGGGUUAAGUCCCGCAACGAGCGCAACCCUUAUUUUUAGUUACCAAUUCGUUGGGUUUUUUAGAAAGACUGCCGGUGUACAAACCGGAGGAAGGUGAGGAUGACGUCAAGUCAGCAUGCCCCUUAUGUCCUGGGCUACACACGUGCUACAAUGGUUAAGACAAAGAGUCGCAAGCUCGCGAGAGUUAG